AGAAUUGAUCUGGUCAGAACGAACGCUGGCGGCGCGUCUAAGCAUGCAAGUCGAACGGCAAGAGGUAGCAAUACCUCCUAGAGUGGCGGACUGGUGAGUAACACGUGGGUGACAUACCCUUCAGAUGGGGAUAGCUAUUAGAAAUAGUAGAUAAUACCGAAUACGAGCACAGGGGUUAGAGAUCUGUGAGGAAAGGAGCUAAGGCUCCGCUGAAGGAAUGGCCUGCGGCCCAUUAGCUAGUUGGUGAGGUAAGAGCCCACCAAGGCGAUGAUGGGUAUCCGGCCUUAGAGGGUGAACGGACACAUUGGGACUGAGAUACGGCCCAGACUCCUACGGGAGGCAGCAGCUAAGAAUAUUCCGCAAUGGACGAAAGUCUGACGGAGCGACGCCGCGUGGAUGAAGAAGGCCGGAAGGUUGUAAAAUCCUUUUGAAACUGAAGAAUAAGCGUUGUAGGGAAUGACAGCGUGGUGACAGUAGGUUUUGAAUAAGCAACGGCUAAUUACGUGCCAGCCGCAGC
RNAcentral lists this ribosomal RNA (517 nucleotides) under uncultured bacterium. Its description in RNAcentral is "bacterial SSU rRNA". It matches the Rfam family "Bacterial small subunit ribosomal RNA", at positions 1 to 518 of the family's 1533-position model. The record is from RNAcentral.